UACGGAGGGGACUAGCGUUGUUCGGAAUUACUGGGCGUAAAGCGCACGUAGGCGGAUUUGUAAGUCAGGGGUGAAAUCCCGGAGCUCAACUCCGGAACUGCCUUUGAUACUGGGAGACUUGAGUUCGGGAGAGGUGAGUGGAACUGCGAGUGUAGAGGUGAAAUUCGUAGAUAUUCGCAAGAACACCAGUGGCGAAGGCGGCUCACUGGCCCGAUACUGACGCUGAGGUGCGAAAGCGUGGGGAGCAAACAGG
This 253-nucleotide ribosomal RNA is filed under the name uncultured bacterium. Its description in RNAcentral is "partial 16S ribosomal RNA". It matches the Rfam family "Bacterial small subunit ribosomal RNA", at positions 524 to 776 of the family's 1533-position model. The record is from RNAcentral.